AGCCUUAUUCUAGAUGGAAAUGGGCACUGUCAUUCAUGGUGUCCAGAAAUUGUUAAUGUAGGUACAUUGAGACAUGCGUUAUGCUUCCAUUACAGCAAGUUCAUUGCAAUGGUGAGUGACAAUGAGACCUGUAACAUUU
This is a small nucleolar RNA of Vulpes vulpes (red fox), 139 nucleotides long. The record is from Ensembl. Lineage: Eukaryota; Metazoa; Chordata; Mammalia; Carnivora; Canidae.